AAUUCGCCCUUAGAGUUUGAUCCUGGCUCAGGAUGAACGCUGGCGGCGUGCCUAACACAUGCAAGUCGAGCGAAGCGCUUAGAUUGGAUUCUUCGGAUGAAGAUCUUUGUGACUGAGCGGCGGACGGGUGAGUAACGCGUGGGCAACCUGCCUUACACAGGGGGAUAACAGUUAGAAAUGACUGCUAAUACCGCAUAAGCACACAGAACCGCAUGGUUCGGGGUGAAAAGCCGAGACGGUAUGAGAUGGACCCGCGUCUGAUUAGCUAGUUGGAGGGGUAACGGCCCACCAAGGCAACGAUCAGUAGCCGACCUGAGAGGGUGACCGGCCACAUUGGGACUGAGACACGGCCCAGACUCCUACGGGAGGUAGCAGUGGGGGAUAUUGCACAAUGGGGGAAACCCUGAUGCAGCGACGCCGCGUGAGUGAAGAAGUAUUUCGGUAUGUAAAGCUCUAUCAGCAGGGAAGAAAAAAGACGGUACCUGACUAAGAAGCCCCGGCUAACUACGUGCCAGCAGCCGCGGCAAUACGUAGGGGGCAAGCGUUAUCCGGAUUUACUGGGUGUAAAGGGAGCGUAGACGGCAAUACAAGUCGGAAGUGAAAUACCCGGGCUCAACCUGGGAACUGCUUUGGAAACUGUAUGGCUGGAGUGCUGGAGAGGUAAGCGGAAUUCCUAGUGUAGCGGUGAAAUGCGUAGAUAUUAGGAGGAACACCAGUGGCGAAGGCGGCUUACUGGACAGUAACUGACGUUGAGGCUCGAAAGCGUGGGGAGCAAACAGGGUUAGAUACCCUGGUAGUCCACGCUGUAAACGAUGGAUACUAGUGGUCGGGGACUGACCCCCUGCGUGCCGCAGCUAACGCAAUAAGUAUCCCACUCUGGGGAGUACGAUCGCACGGUUGAAACUCAAAGGAAUUGACGGGGGCCCGCACAAGCGGUGGAUUAUGUGGAUCAAUUCGAUGCAACCCGUAAGAACCUUACCAGGGCUUGACAUCCUACUAAUGAGGUAGAGAGACGUUAGGUGCCAUUGGGGGAAAGUAGAGACAGGAGGCGCAUGGUUGUCGUCGGCUCGUGUUGUGAGAUGUGGGGUUAAGUCCCGCAGCGAGGGCAACCUUUAUUGUUAGUUGCUAAGCAAGAGCACUCUAGGGAGACACCCGUCGACAAAACGGAGGAAGGUGGGGACGAUGUCAAAUCAUCAUGCCCCUUCAGUCCGGGGCUUCACAUGUAAUACAAUGGCGGCCAACAGAGGGACGCAAAACC
RNAcentral lists this ribosomal RNA (1258 nucleotides) under uncultured bacterium. Its description in RNAcentral is "bacterial SSU rRNA". It matches the Rfam family "Bacterial small subunit ribosomal RNA", at positions 1 to 1256 of the family's 1533-position model. The record is from RNAcentral.